UGCAUAGGAAAGUAUUAUUCAUUUAUGAUGAGAAUAGGAUUUAUUUAUUUUGAACUUCGCUGGGUUCCUCCUUGGCAGCCAGUGCGAUUGUUUCAGCAGGGCUAGAACUCAGGACCCGCUGCCUUGAGGGACAUCUAAGAGCAGUUGGGCAGGGGAAAGGUCUCCCUUGGGAGGUGGUGGACUCUCCUUCCUUGGAGGUUUCUAAGCAGAGAUCGGACGGCCAUCUGCCAUGGAUGCUUUAGCUGAGAUUCCUGCAUUGCUGGGGGUUGGACUAGAUGACCCUGGGAUCCCCUCC
Podarcis lilfordi (Lilford's wall lizard) is the source of this 295-nucleotide non-coding RNA. NCBI's taxonomy places the organism in Eukaryota, Metazoa, Chordata, Lepidosauria, Squamata, Lacertidae. The record is from the annotation of a GenBank genome assembly.